AGUGAACGCUGGCGGUAGGCCUAACACAUGCCAGUCGAACGGCAGCACAGUAAGAGCUUGCUCUUACGGGUGGCGAGUGGCGGACGGGUGAGGAAUACAUCGGAAUCUACUUUUUCGUGGGGGAUAACGUAGGGAAACUUACGCUAAUACCGCAUACGACCUACGGGUGAAAGCAGGGGAUCUUCGGACCUUGCGCGAUUGAAUGAGCCGAUGUCGGAUUAGCUAGUUGGCGGGGUAAAGGCCCACCAAGGCGACGAUCCGUAGCUGGUCUGAGAGGAUGAUCAGCCACACUGGAACUGAGACACGGUCCAGACUCCUACGGGAGGCAGCAGUGGGGAAUAUUGGACAAUGGGCGCAAGCCUGAUCCAGCCAUACCGCGUGGGUGAAGAAGGCCUUCGGGUUGUAAAGCCCUUUUGUUGGGAAAGAAAAGCAGCAGGUUAAUACCACGCUGUUCUGACGGUACCCAAAGAAUAAGCACCGGCUAACUUCGUG
Molecule: ribosomal RNA, 492 nt
Filed under: uncultured bacterium
Lineage: Bacteria
Description: partial 16S ribosomal RNA
Rfam family: Bacterial small subunit ribosomal RNA
Source: RNAcentral